Long non-coding RNA from Tympanuchus pallidicinctus (lesser prairie-chicken), 396 nucleotides. RefSeq lists it as uncharacterized. The transcript is spliced from 4 exons. The record is from RefSeq and is a predicted model, not a curated record. Lineage: Eukaryota; Metazoa; Chordata; Aves; Galliformes; Phasianidae.
AGAAUCUUGGAGAUUCCUGUCUACUGGAGGCCUUCUAAUACCCUGAAGCAAGGCAACAUCUGGAGAAUGGACAGCUGAGGCAGCUGGAGGCAGGAGACCAUGUCUAUCCCACAGCUGCAGAGGUUAAGCAGCUUUCUACUGAUUGCCAAUCAUGGCUUUGAACAUGAAGAGAAUCUUUGACAGGAACGGUGUUCCCUUGGGGUCUGUAUUGAGGCCAGCCCUGUUCAACAUCUUUGCUGAUGAUCUGGACAAAGGGAUUGAGUGCAUCCUCGCUCGACUUUAAUGAAAGUUCUGCCUCUGGGAUCCUCAGCUCAUGGUUGAACAAAGCUGGAGCCAUCUGUGCAGCUACUUUUACCAUCACAGGAGCAGAUGCUGUUUCAGUGCAGCAUCCUAGAA